This 555-nucleotide ribosomal RNA is filed under the name uncultured bacterium. Its description in RNAcentral is "bacterial SSU rRNA". It matches the Rfam family "Bacterial small subunit ribosomal RNA", at positions 777 to 1345 of the family's 1533-position model. The record is from RNAcentral.
AAUAGAUACCCUGGUAGUCCACGCCGUAAACGAUGGAUGCUAGCUGUUAUGCGUAUCGACCCGUGUAGUAGCGAAGCUAACGCGUUAAGCAUCCCGCCUGGGGAGUACGAACGCAAGUUUAAAACUCAAAGGAAUUGACGGGGACCCGCACAAGCGGUGGAGCGUGUUCUUUAAUUCGAGGCUAAGCGAAGAACCUUACCAGGGCUUGACAUCCUUGGAAUUUCUCCGAAAGGAGAGAGUACUUUAUUGGACCAAGUGACAGGUGCUGCAUGGCCGUCGUCAGCUCGUGUCGUGAGAUGUUUGGUUAAGUCCAUUAACGAGCGCAACCCUUAUGAAUAGUUGUAUUUUUCUAUUCAGACUGCCCCGGUAACGGGGAGGAAGGGGGGGAUGAUGUCAGGUCAGUAUUGCCCUUACGCCCUGGGCUAGAAACGCGCUACAAUGGCCGGUACAAUGCGCUGCCAACCCGCGAGGGGGAGCAAAUCGCAUCAAAGCCGGUCCCAGUUCGGAUAAGAGGCUGAAACUCGCCUCUUUGAAGCCGGAAUCGCUAGUAAUCGU